RNAcentral lists this ribosomal RNA (215 nucleotides) under uncultured bacterium. Its description in RNAcentral is "partial 16S ribosomal RNA". It matches the Rfam family "Bacterial small subunit ribosomal RNA", at positions 131 to 334 of the family's 1533-position model. The record is from RNAcentral.
CCUAUGAUGGGGGUAAACAGUUGGAAAACGACUGCUAAUACCGAAUACGCUCAUGAUGAACUUUAUGAGGAAAGGUGGCCUCUGCUUGCAAGCUAUCGCAUAGAGAUGAGUCCGCGUCCCAUUAGCUAGUUGGUGGGGUAACGGCCUACCAAGGCAACGAUGGGUAGCCGAUCUGAGAGGAUGAUCGGCCACACUGGAACUGAAACACGGUCCAG